CUGGGAACUGCCUGAUGGAGGGGGAUAACUACUGGAAACGGUAGCUAAUACCGCAUAACGUCGCAAGACCAAAGAGGGGGACCUUCGGGCCUCUUGCCAUCGGAUGUGCCCAGAUGGGAUUAGCUAGUAGGUGGGGUAACGGCUCACCUAGGCGACGAUCCCUAGCUGGUCUGAGAGGAUGACCAGCCACACUGGAACUGAGACACGGUCCAGACUCCUACGGGAGGCAGCAGUGGGGAAUAUUGCACAAUGGGCGCAAGCCUGAUGCAGCCAUGCCGCGUGUAUGAAGAAGGCCUUCGGGUUGUAAAGUACUUUCAGCGGGGAGGAAGGGAGUAAAGUUAAUACCUUUGCUCAUUGACGUUACCCGCAGAAGAAGCACCGGCUAACUCCGUGCCAGCAGCCGCGGUAAUACGGAGGGUGCAAGCGUUAAUCGGAAUUACUGGGCGUAAAGCGCACGCAGGCGGUUUGUUAAGUCAGAUGUGAAAUCCCCCGGG
Molecule: ribosomal RNA, 494 nt
Filed under: uncultured Escherichia sp.
Lineage: Bacteria; Pseudomonadati; Pseudomonadota; Gammaproteobacteria; Enterobacterales; Enterobacteriaceae
Description: bacterial SSU rRNA
Rfam family: Bacterial small subunit ribosomal RNA
Source: RNAcentral